Molecule: ribosomal RNA, 352 nt
Filed under: uncultured bacterium
Lineage: Bacteria
Description: bacterial SSU rRNA
Rfam family: Bacterial small subunit ribosomal RNA
Source: RNAcentral
AGCGAACGCUGGCGGCAGGCUUAACACAUGCAAGUCGAGCGGGCGUAGCAAUACGUCAGCGGCAGACGGGUGAGUAACGCGUGGGAACAUACCUUUUGGUUCGGAACAACACAGGGAAACUUGUGCUAAUACCGGAUAAGCCCUUACGGGGAAAGGAUUUAUCGCCGAAAGAUUGGCCCGCGUCUGAUUAGCUAGUUGGUGAGGUAAUGGCUCACCAAGGCGACGAUCAGUAGCUGGUCUGAGAGGAUGAUCAGCCACAUUGGGACUGAGACACGGCCCAAACUCCUACGGGAGGCAGCAGUGGGGAAUAUUGGACAAUGGGCGCAAGCCUGAUCCAGCCAUGCCGCGUGAG